GAUAGUUAGUUACAAGGUUAGUGUAUAUAAUCAAUUGUUAGUCACAAAGUCAUUAGAUUAGCUGAGUGAGAACUAAAAUUGUUAGUUCCUUCAACUUCACCCUCUCUUCCUCUGAUUUGUGGAUCUUUCACAUUCAGAACUUCAAUUCAAGUUUAUCUCUCUUUUUAAUGUCUCCCAACUAUGAAUUUAACACCGCUCAGGGCCACUGAACCUUCGUGGAUCAGCCUAGCACAGCCGCGAUUCCAUCCCUGUUUCACGUUCAUCCUCCUCUCACUGGCCGAACUACCACCGCUAACCACCGUAGCCUCCACCAUCGACGAGCCAAGGCGACCCAACCCUCUUCUCCUUUAUCCGCGAGCCCAGAACCACCAACUCCUCCUCGCCGUCGUCCACCAUCACCUUCGCAUAGCCCUCCUUUCUUCUUCCCACCGUCGCCAGCGUUGCCGCCCCCGGCGUCACAACCAAUACCACCAACCUUCCACACACGAGCUCCAACCCCCUUGCUCCAUCGCCUCUCCCACUGCCUUGAAGUUCUCUACUUCUCAGCAACGCCAUCAUUGUUAUAGCCCUUCCAUUGCUUGAUCCACCGGUUAUCUGAUGACAUAGCCCGUUCGGAGCGUCGCUCCAUACGACACUAUGGGCACUUGAGGAGGAUCAGGUGUAUAAUUAAACACUGAAACCUCUUAAUGUUGACAUGAUGCUUAAUUCUUAUGAUUGUAAAGGCUGUUUUCUGACUUCAGAGGGACUUAGUGUGAAGCUUUAUCAGCCAAAGCUUAAUUUUCCUCGUACUGGGUGCACGUGGGAGUAGUGGUUCUUAAAAGUUAAUAGUUCGAGGAUAUUUUGUCAUGGCUAAAAAACAAGAUGUUUCGAAUUAUUUGGCUACUUUAGAAAGUUAUUUAAGUAGUUUUAAUUCUACAGAAAGUCUUUCUUUUGUUAGAAGUGAUUCUUCUGAUGAAGUUGAAUCACCUAGAGAUUUUAAUUUAGUUUUUUCAAUUCCUAGUAUGAAUUCGAUUCCUCAAAUCAAAUUUCGACGUAAUUUAGGUCCUACUUCUUUUUCCAUUCCAAGGAAUAAUAUUGUUAACCAGUCUUGUGUCGAUGUAUCUCAAAGGCUUUGUAUUGAAAAUGAUUCGAUUGAUGAUUUGGUUAAUAAUAAAGUUUGUUUUUCCUCAAA
Long non-coding RNA from Arachis stenosperma, 1171 nucleotides. RefSeq lists it as uncharacterized. NCBI's taxonomy places the organism in Eukaryota, Viridiplantae, Streptophyta, Magnoliopsida, Fabales, Fabaceae. The record is from RefSeq and is a predicted model, not a curated record. The transcript is spliced from 2 exons.